Molecule: ribosomal RNA, 504 nt
Filed under: uncultured bacterium
Lineage: Bacteria
Description: partial 16S ribosomal RNA
Rfam family: Bacterial small subunit ribosomal RNA
Source: RNAcentral
GAUGAACGCUGGCGGCGUGGAUAAGGCAUGCAAGUCGAGGGGCAGCAGCUUUAUAGCAAUAGAGAGGCUGGCGACCGGCAAACGGGUGCGGAACACGUACACAACCUUCCUUUAAGAGGGGGAUAGCCCAUAGAAAUGUGGAUUAAUACCCCGUAACAUAUCGGUGUGGCAUCACACUGUUAUUAUAGUUUCGACGCUUGAAGAUGGGUGUGCGGCUGAUUAGGUAGUUGGCGGGGUAAAGGCCCACCAAGCCUUCGAUCAGUAGCUGAUGUGAGAGCAUGAUCAGCCACACGGGCACUGAGACACGGGCCCGACUCCUACGGGAGGCAGCAGUAAGGAAUAUUGGUCAAUGGACGCAAGUCUGAACCAGCCAUGCCGCGUGAAGGAUGAAGGUCCUCUGGAUUGUAAACUUCUUUUAUAGGGGGCGAAAAAAGGGAAUUCUUUCUCACUUGACAGUACCCUAUGAAUAAGCACCGGCUAACUCCGUGCCAGCAGCCGCAGUAA